UUACGCCUGGGGCUACACACGUACUACAAUGGCACGUACAAAGGGUUGCAAAGCCGUGAGGCCAAGCCAAUCCCAAAAAGCGUGUCUCAGUCCGGAUAGGAGUCUGCAACUCGACUCCUUGAAGUCGGAAUCGCUAGUAAUCCCGGAUCAGCAUGCCGGGGUGAAUGCGUUCCCGGGCCUUGUACACACCGCCCGUCACACCACGAAAGUUGGUUCCACCCGAAACCGACGAGCUAACCCUUUUGGGAGGCAGUCGUCUACGGUGGGGCUGAUGAUUGGGGUGAAGUCGUAACAAGGUAGCA
Molecule: ribosomal RNA, 302 nt
Filed under: uncultured delta proteobacterium
Lineage: Bacteria; Deltaproteobacteria
Description: bacterial SSU rRNA
Rfam family: Bacterial small subunit ribosomal RNA
Source: RNAcentral